GUUUUUCAUAAAAGAGAGAGAUCAUUCCCUUGACUUUGGACUUCGCUUAUUGAACCCCUGGACAGAAUCAAGGUUGCUAAGGGACCACCUGUGCUGAAUGCACUUUGUUCUGGCAAGAGCAGAAAACUGAGAAGCCGUGUUACCUACCACUACCUGGGAUUAAUUCAGGUGAGAAAUGGGUCUCUACUCACUCCUCAUUCCUCACUAAUUGUCUAUUCCCC
This 221-nucleotide long non-coding RNA is filed under the name Pan troglodytes (chimpanzee). RNAcentral describes it as "long non-coding RNA NONPTRT002185". Lineage: Eukaryota; Metazoa; Chordata; Mammalia; Primates; Hominidae. The record is from RNAcentral.